GUCUAUGGCCAUACCACCCUGAUAGUGCCUGAUAUCCUGAUCUCAGAAGCUAAGCAGGGUCAGGCCUGGUUAGUAUUUGGAUGGGAGAAUAUGGCUCUUCUUUGCUAGUAUAGCUU
This 116-nucleotide ribosomal RNA is filed under the name Sorex araneus (European shrew). Lineage: Eukaryota; Metazoa; Chordata; Mammalia; Eulipotyphla; Soricidae. The record is from RNAcentral.